UUUCACUGUAAGGUCUACUACACCUGUUGUAUUCAGCAUUUCCCUGUGAGGUCUACACCUGUUGUAUUCAGCAUUUCACUGUAAGGUCUACUACACCUGUUGUAUUCAGCAUUUCACUGUAAGGUCUACCUACACCUGUUGUAUUCAGCAUUUCCCUGUGAGGUCUACUACACCUGUUGUAUUCAGCAUUUCACUGUAAGGUCUACUACACCUGUUGUAUUCAGCAUUUCACUGUAAGGUCUACUACACCUGUUGUAUUCAGCAUUUCACUGUAAGGUCUACUACACCUGUUGUAUUCAGCAUUUCACUGUAAGGUCUACCUGCACCUGUUGUAUUCAGCAUUUCACUGUAAGGUCUACUACACCUGUUGUAUUCAGC
Oncorhynchus tshawytscha (Chinook salmon) is the source of this 378-nucleotide long non-coding RNA. Lineage: Eukaryota; Metazoa; Chordata; Actinopteri; Salmoniformes; Salmonidae. The record is from Ensembl.